Molecule: ribosomal RNA, 599 nt
Filed under: Pseudoalteromonas hodoensis
Lineage: Bacteria; Pseudomonadati; Pseudomonadota; Gammaproteobacteria; Alteromonadales; Pseudoalteromonadaceae
Description: bacterial SSU rRNA
Rfam family: Bacterial small subunit ribosomal RNA
Source: RNAcentral
UUUGCUGACGAGCGGCGGACGGGUGAGUAAUGCUUGGGAACAUGCCUUGAGGUGGGGGACAACAGUUGGAAACGACUGCUAAUACCGCAUAAUGUCUACGGACCAAAGGGGGCUUCGGCUCUCGCCUUUAGAUUGGCCCAAGUGGGAUUAGCUAGUUGGUGAGGUAAUGGCUCACCAAGGCAACGAUCCCUAGCUGGUUUGAGAGGAUGAUCACCCACACUGGGACUGAGACACGGCCCACACUCCUACGGGAGGCAGCAGUGGGGAAUAUUGCACAAUGGGCGCAAGCCUGAUGCACCCAUGCCGCGUGUGUGAAGAAGGCCUUCGGGUUGUAAAGCACUUUCAGUCAAGAAGAAAGGUUAGUAGUUAAUACCUGCUAUCUGUGACGUUACUGACAGAAGAAGCACCGGCUAACUCCGUGCCAGCAGCCGCGGUAAUACAGAGGGUGCGAGCGUUAAUCGGAAUUACUGGGCGUAAAGCGUACGCAGGCGGUUUGUUAAGCGAGAUGUGAAAGCCCCGGGCUCAACCUGGGAACUGCAUUUCAAACUGGCAAACUAGAGUGUGAUAGAGGGUGGUAGAAUUUCAUGUGUAGCGGUGAA